Molecule: ribosomal RNA, 910 nt
Filed under: Bacillus sp. (in: firmicutes)
Lineage: Bacteria; Bacillati; Bacillota; Bacilli; Caryophanales; Bacillaceae
Description: bacterial SSU rRNA
Rfam family: Bacterial small subunit ribosomal RNA
Source: RNAcentral
CUGGGCGGCUAUACAUGCAGUCGAGCGGACGGAUGGGAGCUUGCUCCCUGAAGUCAGCGGCGGACGGGUGAGUAACACGUGGGCAACCUGCCCUGCAGACUGGGAUAACACCGAGAAAUCGGUGCUAAUACCGGAUAACUUCCGAGACCUCAUGGUCUUGGGAUAAAAGAUGGCUCCGGCUAUCACUGCAGGAUGGGCCCGCGGCGCAUUAGCUAGUUGGUGAGGUAACGGCUUACCAAGGCGACGAUGCGUAGCCGACCUGAGAGGGUGAUCGGCCACACUGGGACUGAGACACGGCCCAGACUCCUACGGGAGGCAGCAGUAGGGAAUCUUCCGCAAUGGACGAAAGUCUGACGGAGCAACGCCGCGUGAGUGAUGAAGGAUUUCGGUUCGUAAAGCUCUGUUGUUAGGGAAGAACAAGUGCCGUUCGAAUAGGGCGGCACCUUGACGGUACCUAACCAGAAAGCCACGGCUAACUACGUGCCAGCAGCCGCGGUAAUACGUAGGUGGCAAGCGUUGUCCGGAAUUAUUGGGCGUAAAGCGCGCGCAGGCGGUCUUUUAAGUCUGAUGUGAAAGCCCACGGCUCAACCGUGGAGGGUCAUUGGAAACUGGGAGACUUGAGUACAGAAGAGGAGAGUGGAAUUCCACGUGUAGCGGUGAAAUGCGUAGAUAUGUGGAGGAACACCAGUGGCGAAGGCGACUCUCUGGUCUGUAACUGACGCUGAGGCGCGAAAGCGUGGGGGAGCAAACAGGAUUAGAUACCCCUGGUAGUCCACGCCCGUAAAACGAUGAGUGCUAGGGUGUUAGGGGUUUUCGAUGCCCUUUAGUGCCGAAGUUAACACAUUAAGCACUCCGCCUGGGGAGUACGACCGCAAGGUUGAAACUCAAAGGAAUUGACGGGGGCCCGUGC